ACUCCUACGGGAGGCAGCAGUGGGGAAUUUUGGACAAUGGGCGAAAGCCUGAUCCAGCAAUGCCGCGUGAGUGAAGAAGGCCUUCGGGUUGUAAAGCUCUUUUGUCAGGGAAGAAACGGUGAAAGCUAAUAUCUUUUGCUAAUGACGGUACCUGAAGAAUAAGCACCGGCUAACUACGUGCCAGCAGCCGCGGUAAUACGUAGGGUGCAAGCGUUAAUCGGAAUUACUGGGCGUAAAGCGUGCGCAGGCGGUUUUGUAAGUCUGAUGUGAAAUCCCCGGGCUCAACCUGGGAAUUGCAUUGGAGACUGCAAGGCUAGAAUCUGGCAGAGGGGGGUAGAAUUCCACGUGUAGCAGUGAAAUGCGUAGAUAUGUGGAGGAACACCGAUGGCGAAGGCAGCCCCCUGGGUCAAGAUUGACGCUCAUGCACGAAAGCGUGGGGAGCAAACAGGAUUAGAUACCCGAGUAUCCCAUGA
RNAcentral lists this ribosomal RNA (473 nucleotides) under uncultured organism. RNAcentral describes it as "partial 16S ribosomal RNA". It matches the Rfam family "Bacterial small subunit ribosomal RNA", at positions 335 to 800 of the family's 1533-position model. The record is from RNAcentral.